This 21-nucleotide unclassified non-coding RNA is filed under the name Chlamydomonas reinhardtii. RNAcentral's name for it is "small RNA Cre_3096". The record is from RNAcentral. Lineage: Eukaryota; Viridiplantae; Chlorophyta; Chlorophyceae; Chlamydomonadales; Chlamydomonadaceae.
UGCGCCUGCGCAACCGACUGG